Molecule: long non-coding RNA, 1086 nt
Organism: Scophthalmus maximus (turbot)
Lineage: Eukaryota; Metazoa; Chordata; Actinopteri; Pleuronectiformes; Scophthalmidae
Exons: 2
Source: RefSeq, a predicted model, not a curated record
CAGUACAGGUUUUAAUAAAUAACAUGAACACGCAGGUGAAACCAACCAAAAUGAACACGUAUGUUCAUUCAGAGUGAAUCUGACAUGAAGAACAGAGAGAGAGAGAAAAGACAACAUGUUAUCUCUCUCUCUCUCUCUAGCAAGGAGGGAGGGAGGGAGAAGGUGAAGGAAAGAAAGGAGGAGUUUUGUCUUAUCAGGAGAAGUGAAAGUGAAAUGAAUCUCUAGAGUAUUUAAAGAGGAAGUCCGGACUCCCCGAGCUGUUGGGAGGACGGGACCGCAGAGGCGGGACACGCUGCUCGGAGAUGUCGCUGUGCUGUCCAGAGCUGAGUCCGGACCCUUUGUAUUGGUGGGUGGGAUUGUAACGGAACCCAUAAUGCAGCUGUGACUCUGGACUCCAGCUGGUUAUGGCGUCCGUUUCCAUCCCACAACGCACAGGAGCUUCUCAGCAGACGGAGAGUGAGCAGGACCUCCUCCCUCCAACUGCUUUUACUCUGUUUAUAAGUCAGCUUGAAGAACAACUUUGGAUUAUUUCAGCUGAAAACUUUAUUGGUCCUUUAAAAGGGAAAAAAAACAAAACAAUAAUAUAUUAAAAAUGGUAAAACACUGGUAACAAUAUAAGACAGUAUAAAAGUAUCUGCAAUAUGAGUACACAUCCCAGCUGACAAACCAGUCAGUUUGUCACGCAUGUAGUGCCCUCGUUCAGAGAGCUCGCCACUGGUCCAUUUACAAUGGGACUUCAUACUUUAUAUUAAAAAAUCAAUCAAAUAAAAAAGUGAAACAAACUAAAUGAAGGCAGUUAGAUGCUGUGCUGCCAUUUUGGAAAAUGACUGAAUUUCGGUCCGAGGCCUGAGGCGACCGUCUGGGGCAGCAGGUGUUUUUCCUCAAUGACACGUUUUCUCCCGGAUUGCUGACGACAGGAAAGCGCAACCGGGAAUUUCGUGUCAGCCAAGAAGGACACGUUCAACGUCCAGCGACUCAAGAGCUCACUGCUGAAUUAUUCCAGAUUCUAAGUUUGUCAAGUGUACCACUACAUUUUUACUAUGCAACUGUCGGGUAUUGUUGUCUAAUAAAUCUCUGAAUUUUAAA